CUGCAGCCCGAGUGGUGAUCGAUUUUAUUGAGCCUAAAGCGUUCGUAGCCGGACUAGUAAACCCUUGGGUAAAUUGGGCAGCUUAACUGUCCAAAUUCCGAGGGGACUGCUAGUCUUGGGACCGGGAGAGGUCAGAGGUACUCAAGGGGUAGGGGCUAAAUCCUGUAAUCCUUUGGGGACCACCAGUGGCGAAGGCGUCUGACUAGAACGGAUCCGACGGUAAGGGACGAAACCCUGGGGCGCGAACCGGAUUAGAUACCCGAGUAGUCC
This 270-nucleotide ribosomal RNA is filed under the name uncultured archaeon. RNAcentral's name for it is "partial 16S ribosomal RNA". It matches the Rfam family "Archaeal small subunit ribosomal RNA", at positions 477 to 747 of the family's 1478-position model. The record is from RNAcentral.